Plectropomus leopardus (leopard coralgrouper) is the source of this 277-nucleotide non-coding RNA. Lineage: Eukaryota; Metazoa; Chordata; Actinopteri; Perciformes; Serranidae. The record is from RefSeq and is a predicted model, not a curated record.
CUGCAGACGGACGACAGAAUAGCGCUGAAAGAAAUAACGCGGCAGCUCCACCUGGAAAACGUCGUUGGUGACAAAGUGUUUGGAAGCUUUGCAGAGAAUCUGGCUUUUUUGCUGGAGGCUUUAAAGAAAGGCGAUCGCAGCAGCAGUCGCCCCGUUUUGUUCGUCCUGGAUGAGUUCGACCUGUUCGCCCACCACAAGAACCAGACUCUGCUCUACAACCUGUUCGACGUGUCCCAGUCCGCCCAGGCUCCCGUCGCUGUGGUCGGCGUCACCUGCA